GGUUCCGGAGCGGAACUGAUUAGAAGCUCCGCUCUCUAUGACGUUAGCGGCGGACGGGAGAGAAAGAGGGUGGGCAACCUGCCUGUAAGACUGGGAUAACUUCGGGAAACCGAAGCUAAUACCGGAUAGGAUCUUCUCCUUCAUGGGAGAUGAUUGAAAGAUGGUUUCGGCUAUCACUUACAGACGUCCCCAAAGGUGCAUUAGCUAGUUGGUGAGGUAACGGCUCACCAAGGCAACGAUGCAUAGCCGACCUGAGAGGGUGAUCGGCCACACUGGGACUGAGACACGGCCCAGACUCCUACGGGAGGCAGCAGUAGGGAAUCUUCCGCAAUGGACGAAAGUCUGACGGAGCAACGCCGCGUGAGUGAUGAAGGCUUUCGGGUCGUAAAACUCUGUUGUUAGGGAAGAACAAGUAUGAGAGUAACUGCUCGUACCUUGACGGUACCUAACCAGAAAGCCACGGUUAACUACGUGCCAGCAGCCCCCGUAAUACGUAGGUGGCAAGCGUUAUCCGGAAUUAUUGGGCGUAAAGCGCGCGCAGGCGGUUUCUUAAGUCUGAUGUGAAAGCCCACGGCUCAACCGAGGAGGGUCAUUGGAAACUG
Molecule: ribosomal RNA, 602 nt
Filed under: Priestia aryabhattai
Lineage: Bacteria; Bacillati; Bacillota; Bacilli; Caryophanales; Bacillaceae
Description: bacterial SSU rRNA
Rfam family: Bacterial small subunit ribosomal RNA
Source: RNAcentral